This 440-nucleotide ribosomal RNA is filed under the name uncultured bacterium. RNAcentral describes it as "partial 16S ribosomal RNA". It matches the Rfam family "Bacterial small subunit ribosomal RNA", at positions 338 to 795 of the family's 1533-position model. The record is from RNAcentral.
CCUACGGGAGGCAGCAGUGGGGAAUAUUGCACAAUGGGGGAAACCCUGAUGCAGCGACGCCGCGUGAGCGAUGAAGUAUUUCGGAUUGUAAACUCCUUUUGUUAGAGAAGAUAAUGACGGUAUCUAACGAAUAAGCACCGGCUAACUCCGUGCCAGCAGCCGCGGUAAUACGGAGGGUGCAAGCGUUACUCGGAAUCACUGGGCGUAAAGAGAGCGUAGGCGGGAUAGCAAGUCAGAUGUGAAAUCCUAUGGCUUAACCAUAGAACUGCAUUUGAAACUGUUAUUCUAGAGUAUGGGAGAGGUAGGUGGAAUUCUUGGUGUAGGGGUAAAAUCCGUAGAGAUCAAGAGGAAUACUCAUUGCGAAGGCGACCUGCUAGAACAUAACUGACGCUGAUGCGCGAAAGCGUGGGGAGCAAACAGGAUUAGAUACCCGAGUAGUC